Molecule: ribosomal RNA, 504 nt
Filed under: Triticum aestivum (bread wheat)
Lineage: Eukaryota; Viridiplantae; Streptophyta; Magnoliopsida; Poales; Poaceae
Description: partial small subunit ribosomal RNA
Source: RNAcentral
AUGAAACAUCGUGAGUGGAAAGGGGAACCAAAGUGCUCGUUCUGUGGGGAAAGGGAGACUUCCCAACACCUAUUUUUCAUGUGCCCUAUUGCGAGAGUUACUUGGAGAGUGGUGGGGUGCAUGCUGGGCACUGAACAGUGCCCUAACAAUUUGUGGCAGGAUUAUGUUUGGUGUUAUGUGUUUUUACUAGGGGGAGAUGUCUUUUAUACGGCUGGUAUUGCAGCCAUUUGCUAGGCUAUCUGGACCUGUCGUAAUAGAGUUACUUUUGAACAUAUUCCUCUCAAAUCUCCGUUUGAAUGCAUCUUCUCUGCUUGUGCGUUGUUGUGUUACUGGGCAGGUCUGAUGAAGCAAGAGGACGCAACGACGCUGAGAACUGGAGGGGAAAAUCUAAAAGAGAAUGCUUCUCGUCUGAUGAGGAUCUGCGCAACGGCUUAUGUUUGGUGUUAUGUGUUUUUACUAGGGGGAGAUGUCUUUUAUACGGCUAGUAUUGCGGCCAUUUGCUAG